RNAcentral lists this ribosomal RNA (253 nucleotides) under uncultured bacterium. RNAcentral's name for it is "partial 16S ribosomal RNA". It matches the Rfam family "Bacterial small subunit ribosomal RNA", at positions 524 to 776 of the family's 1533-position model. The record is from RNAcentral.
UACAGAGGUCUCAAGCGUUGUUCGGAUUCAUUGGGCGUAAAGGGUGCGUAGGCGGCGCGGUAAGUCGGGUGUGAAAUCUCGGAGCUUAACUCCGAAACUGCAUUCGAUACUGCUCGGCUAGAGUGCGGAAGGGGCAACUGGAAUUCUUGGUGUAGCGGUGAAAUGCGUAGAUAUCAAGAGGAACACCUGCGGCGAAGGCGGGUUGCUGGGCCGACACUGACGCUGAGGCGCGAAAGCUAGGGGAGCGAACGGG